RNAcentral lists this ribosomal RNA (425 nucleotides) under uncultured bacterium. Its description in RNAcentral is "partial 16S ribosomal RNA". It matches the Rfam family "Bacterial small subunit ribosomal RNA", at positions 354 to 796 of the family's 1533-position model. The record is from RNAcentral.
GUGGGGAAUAUUGGGCAAUGGGGGAAACCCUGACCCAGCAACGCCGCGUGAAGGAAGAAGGUUUUCGGAUCGUAAACUUCUAUCCUUGGUGAAGAUAAUGACGGUAGCCAAGAAGGAAGCCCCGGCUAACUACGUGCCAGCAGCCGCGGUAAUACGUAGGGGGCAAGCGUUGUCCGGAAUGAUUGGGCGUAAAGGGCGCGUAGGCGGCCUGGUAAGUCUGGAGUGAAAGUCCUGCUUUUAAGGUGGGAAUUGCUUUGGAUACUGUCGGGCUUGAGUGCAGGAGAGGUAAGCGGAAUUCCCGGUGUAGCGGUGAAAUGCGUAGAGAUCGGGAGGAACACCAGUGGCGAAGGCGGCUUACUGGACUGUAACUGACGCUGAGGCGCGAAAGUGUGGGGAGCAAACAGGAUUAGAUACCCUGGUAGUCC